UAGCAGGUAGUAUAAGUUGGAAGUACGGAAUAUUUUGAGUUUUCUGAUGUUGGUUCGAACCCUUCUCUGCUAA
RNAcentral lists this transfer RNA (73 nucleotides) under Saara hardwickii (Indian spiny-tailed lizard). It matches the Rfam family "tRNA". From Rfam's summary of the family: Transfer RNA (tRNA) molecules are approximately 80 nucleotides in length. Their secondary structure includes four short double-helical elements and three loops (D, anti-codon, and T loops). Lineage: Eukaryota; Metazoa; Chordata; Lepidosauria; Squamata; Agamidae. The record is from RNAcentral.